GAUGAACGCUGGCGGCGUGCCUAAUACAUGCAAGUCGAGCGAACAGACGAGGAGCUUGCUCCUCUGACGUGAGCGGCGGACGGGUGAGUAACACGUGGAUAACCUACCUAUAAGACUGGGAUAACUUCGGGAAACCGGAGCUAAUACCGGAUAAUAUAUUGAACCGCAUGGUUCAAUAGUGAAAGACGGUUUUGCUGUCACUUAUAGAUGGAUCCGCGCCGCAUUAGCUAGUUGGUAAGGUAACGGCUUACCAAGGCAACGAUGCGUAGCCGACCUGAGAGGGUGAUCGGCCACACUGGAACUGAGACACGGUCCAGACUCCUACGGGAGGCAGCAGUAGGGAAUCUUCCGCAAUGGGCGAAAGCCUGACGGAGCAACGCCGCGUGAGUGAUGAAGGUCUUCGGAUCGUAAAACUCUGUUAUUAGGGAAGAACAAAUGUGUAAGUAACUAUGCACGUCUUGACGGUACCUAAUCAGAAAGCCACGGCUAACUACGUG
This 497-nucleotide ribosomal RNA is filed under the name uncultured bacterium. RNAcentral's name for it is "partial 16S ribosomal RNA". It matches the Rfam family "Bacterial small subunit ribosomal RNA", at positions 28 to 507 of the family's 1533-position model. The record is from RNAcentral.